This 468-nucleotide ribosomal RNA is filed under the name uncultured bacterium. Its description in RNAcentral is "partial 16S ribosomal RNA". It matches the Rfam family "Bacterial small subunit ribosomal RNA", at positions 28 to 507 of the family's 1533-position model. The record is from RNAcentral.
GGCGAACGCUGGCGGCGUGCUUAACACAUGCAAGUCGAACGGAAAGGCCCUGCUUUUGUGGGGUGCUCAAGUGGCGAACGGGUGAGUAACACGUGAGUAACCUGCCCUUGACUUUGGGAUAACUUCAGGAAACUGGGGCUAAUACCGGAUAGGAACUCCUGCUCCAUGAUGGGUGCUGGCAAGUGUCGGCGGUUGGGCUGGGGCCCGCGGCUUGUCAACCAGUUGGUGGGGAGGCGGCUUUCCAAGGUUUUGACGGGCAGCCGGCCGUAGAGGGUGACCGGGCAGACUGGGAAUGAGCAACGGACAAGACUGCUGCGGGAGCCAGAAGUGGAGAAUAUUGCACCAGGGGCGGAGGCCGGAUGCAGCAACGCCGCGUGCGGGAUGACGGCCUUCUGGUUGUAGGCCGAUUGCGCCUGUGACGAAGCGUGAGUGACGUGAAUGGGUAAAGGAGCAACUGCUAGCCACGUG